RNAcentral lists this transfer RNA (77 nucleotides) under Planctomycetota bacterium. RNAcentral describes it as "Planctomycetes bacterium (soil metagenome) tRNA-Met". It matches the Rfam family "tRNA". Rfam says of the family: Transfer RNA (tRNA) molecules are approximately 80 nucleotides in length. Lineage: Bacteria; Pseudomonadati; Planctomycetota. The record is from RNAcentral.
GCUGACGUAGCUCAACCGGUCAGAGCGCCGGCUUCAUAAGCCGGAGGCUGGCCGUUCGACUCGGCCCGUCAGCACCA